AUAUUGUUACAGGAAGUGCACUUAUACUGUCGAGAGAAAUUGUAAACUCUUAAUCGAUGGCUUCUUGGCCACACUGGUUCUGUUUCUGGUGGUGGAGUUGGUGAUCUGCAUUGUAACCAUCUUGUUUGGACUCAAUGCUCUGGCUAAAGGUGGCAUGCAGCUUCCUGGUUUUAGACAGCGUGCUGCCCCAUCUCAGCCCGAGGCCGUCACCCCUAGCCAACCUCAGGUGGAAGUGUUGGUGUCAGAGGUGGAGCCAAUGCCUGAGCGUGAACCUGAACCCAAAUCUGAACCGAUAGAAGAAAUCCCCAGCCCUCCCACUGAACCUCAAGUGGCGCCCAUUGACUCUUUAACAGAUGUUUGAUGCUUUGUGCUCAUGUGAUCUGUAUGUAUAUUGUAGAGAUUAGUGAGGUUUUAGCAGCAAGGGUUUUUGUAUUUUAGUGAUGUAUGAAAUCAACAUGAUAGGGCUUUGUAAAAUAGGCCAUUAUCAUCAUACUUAAAAAAGAUGGUUCAACCAAAAAUAGAAAUUCAUUUGCUCCCUCAUGUUGUUCCAAACCCAUGACUUUCGGUUACACAUUAUUUUCAGGUGUCCUUGUUACAGAGUAAUUAAGUACUGAGUAAUAUUAAUUAACUACAUCAACUUACUAUAUGGUUAGGGUUAGGAUUAGGGUUUGGUUUAGGGUUACUUGCAUGUAAUUAUGCAUAAUUUAUUGUUAUUAUAAUAGUAAGUACAUGUAAUGUGUAACAAGGACACCUUAAAAUAAAGUGUUACCUGACUUUCUUUGGUACAAUGAAAAUGUAUGGGGACCUGGGUUGUCAAGCUCCAAAAGGACAAAAAAAUCACCAUAAAAGUAAAAACAAGAGUGGUUCGUAUAACUUGUGCACUAUAUUCCAGGUCUUUUGAAGUCAUACAUUUAUGUCAUCUAUUAAACAUAUUGCUUGACUACUGUGAUCAUGUUAUGAAAAGAGCAAUUUAGACAUCCUACUAUUAUUUUAUCCUUUUGCAUUCCGCAUCUUUAAAGAAACAUUUUUAAAAGUUGUGGGUUUCAAAAGACAUGAGAGUGAAUUUUCAUUUUGAGGUGAACCAUUGCUUUAAUAUUGUAUUACCUGCAGAGUUUCUUCUUGUCUGACAACUGAAGACUUACAGUGUUUGCAAAGCAGCACACAGAUAUUCUUCAAAUAUUCAGGGUCAAAACUUAACCCUCAAUUUGAAACUUCUCCAAUUAAUUUAGCCUGAACCACUAAUUUCACCUUGCUUGUUUUAUCUGUUAUUGUUAUCUUUCAUCCUUAAAAAAGUAAGAUAAUUCUUCUUUUGAUAGAAUCACUUAAAUGUUAACUGGCAGCACAGAUGUCAUCAUAUAAUUUGCAUAUUGAAUUGUGAUUGGUGAAUGCUUGCAUUCUUCCUGGCAUAUAUUUAAUCAUUCACACUGUCUAUGUAUUAAUCGUUUACACUGUGUGCUGUGUAUAUUGAUGCUUGCAAUGGCAAAACAGCUUUAAUGUAGCAUGAAACAAACCGAUGUUUCGAUUUUAGGCUUUGGUUCUGUGUGAAUGAAAUUUUGCACAGGCUAGAAAUUUAACUGUAUUUGGCUUUCCCACAAACAUGUAAAACUUUCAGGGAAUUUGAACAUUGUGAUUUCCAGGCCUGAAAAAGUCAUAGAAAUUAGUGAAUAUAGUUUUAUUUCCCUAAUAAUGCACAGAUCUAGAAUAUUUUAUUUGCUAGAAAUAUUCUAGGUGCAAUCGCUAUAAAAUGGCUUUUUUUAUGUAGUAACAACUGAAAAAAAAUUACAUUAUGAUUGGUGUAAAUGUAAUCAUAGCUCAAACAAACAAACAAAAAAAACGUUGCACAUCUUGCAGGGAAAAAUGUAUGUAAACAAUGCAAGCAUGCAUAUUUGGAUCCAUUUAAUGCAAGACAGCUUUAAAUCAUUGUCAGCUGUCAUCUACAACCAACAAACUAUAGUGCGGGCAAUAUCAUGUUAAUUGAAAAAUGGCAUCAAACCCACCCCUGAUCUGCAAUAAUGAGUACUUCUAUUGAGCUAACCUACUAACAAACAAAAUUCUCUGUAUGAUAUGCUAGUAUAUGUUACAUAAUGUAAAAUAUUCCCACAGUUCGUUUGGCCUCUUUAGUGUUAGUAAUGUGUGUAAUCUGAUAACACAAUAUCUAUAUUGAACCUCCAUGCUCACAAGAGAAUGAAAAAUAGUAAUAAUAUCUUAACAGAUAAGUUGGGCUUGAUCUCUUACUGUACAUCCUUUUAAAGAAAAAAAAAAGUUGUGUUCACUGUUAAUAUCAAACAGUGGCAUGAGUUAGUUCCCUGUAGAUAUGUUGUAUAUUCCUGAUUAAUGUCAUUGGUGCUAGUAUAGUACAUCUAAAAAAUACAUUUCAGUGCAGGUUGAGGUUUUGUGUGUGAGAAACCAUGCUUUCAUCUUUCAUAUAAUCAUUUUGUAUCCUUCGAUUACCAAUAAAUAAGUGAGAGCGAUAGAAUAACCAGGUUUAAAUGGGGAGAGUUCGAAUAGAGCUUUUAUGCGUCAUCUUUACCCUUUGUUCGCUUGCCAUUGUUGUUUCACAAAGCUUAAUAAUUCAGCUAAUAGUUAUUAUUGUUGUACGUUACGCCAAUAAAUAAGUGAGAGCGAUAGGAUAACCAGGUUUAAAUGGGGAGAGUUCGAAUAGAGCUUUUAUGCGUCAUCUUUACCCUUUGUUUGCUUGCCAUUGUUGUUUCACAAAGCUUAAUAAUUCAGCUAAUAGUUAUUAUUGUUGUACGUUACUCACUCACCAGACUCACGGAUUGUCAUUUUUAGUAUUUCUCAAGAAUCUGAAUUUGUUACAAUACAGUCAUAAUCCAAGGAGCAUUUUAUUACAGAUCUAAGAAACCAAAGCAUUUUGUUUCUCUUCUACGGUUGAUUUACUUUCGUAUACCUCUUUUACACAACAUCUGUGUAUUUUCUGCUCUGUUCACACCUCUUGUUUAAUUGUGAUUUUUGAGCAUGCUGCUGUGAGUUUCCACUAGAUGGGGAUCAAAGGAACUGGUGUGACAUUGUAGCACAUUCUCAUAGUGUUUGAAGUGCAGUGUAUUUUAGGUGCUGAAUGGACUUAUUAAACCACGUUUAUGCACCAACAAUGUGAGAUUAUUAUUUCUUAUUUGUGACCCUGGAGCACAAAAGCAGUCUU
Molecule: long non-coding RNA, 3160 nt
Organism: Sinocyclocheilus grahami
Lineage: Eukaryota; Metazoa; Chordata; Actinopteri; Cypriniformes; Cyprinidae
Source: Ensembl